CCUACGGGAGGCAGCAGUGAGGAAUAUUGGUCAAUGGACGCGAGUCUGAACCAGCCAAGUAGCGUGAAGGAUGACUGCCCUACGGGUUGUAAACUUCUUUUAUAUGGGAAUAAAAUGUUCCACGUGUGGGUUUUUGUAUGUACCUUAUGAAUAAGGAUCGGCUAACUCCGUGCCAGCAGCCGCGGUAAUACGGAGGAUCCGAGCGUUAUCCGGAUUUAUUGGGUUUAAAGGGAGCGUAGGUGGAUUGUUAAGUCAGUUGUGAAAGUUUGCGGCUCAACCGUAAAAUUGCAGUUGAUACUGGCAGUCUUGAGUACAGUAGAGGUAGGCGGAAUUCGUGGUGUAGCGGUGAAAUGCUUAGAUAUCACGAAGAACUCCGAUUGCGAAGGCAGCUCACUGAACUGCAACUGACACUGAUGCUCGAAAGUGUGGGUAUCAAACAGGAUUAGAUACCCCUGUAGUC
Molecule: ribosomal RNA, 460 nt
Filed under: uncultured bacterium
Lineage: Bacteria
Description: partial 16S ribosomal RNA
Rfam family: Bacterial small subunit ribosomal RNA
Source: RNAcentral